RNAcentral lists this ribosomal RNA (512 nucleotides) under uncultured microorganism. RNAcentral describes it as "bacterial SSU rRNA". It matches the Rfam family "Bacterial small subunit ribosomal RNA", at positions 9 to 517 of the family's 1533-position model. The record is from RNAcentral.
GAGUUUGAUCGUGGCUCAGAUUGAACGCUGGCGGCAGGCCUAACACAUGCAAGUCGAGCGGAUGAAGGGAGCUUGCUCCUGGAUUCAGCGGCGGACGGGUGAGUAGUGCCUAGGAAUCUGCCUGGUAGUGGGGAUAACGUCCGGAAACGGGCGCUAAUACCGCAUACGUCCUGAGGGAGAAAGUGGGGGAUCUUCGGACCUCACGCUAUCAGAUGAGCCUAGGUCGGAUUAGCUAGUUGGUGGGGUAAAGGCCUACCAAGGCGACGAUCCGUAACUGGUCUGAGAGGAUGAUCAGUCACACUGGAACUGAGACACGGUCCAGACUCCUACGGGAGGCAGCAGUGGGGAAUAUUGGACAAUGGGCGAAAGCCUGAUCCAGCCAUGCCGCGUGUGUGAAGAAGGUCUUCGGAUUGUAAAGCACUUUAAGUUGGGAGGAAGGGCAGUAAGUUAAUACCUUGCUGUUUUGACGUUACCAACAGAAUAAGCACCGGCUAACUUCGUGCCAGCAGCCG